Molecule: non-coding RNA, 71 nt
Organism: Podarcis lilfordi (Lilford's wall lizard)
Lineage: Eukaryota; Metazoa; Chordata; Lepidosauria; Squamata; Lacertidae
Source: the annotation of a GenBank genome assembly
GCUGGGAUAGCUCAGUCAGUACAGCAUGAGACUUAAUCUCAGGGUUGUGGGUUUGAGCCUCAUGUUGAGCG